CCUACGGGAGGCAGCAGUGGGGAAUAUUGGACAAUGGGCGAAAGCCUGAUCCAGCAAUGCCGCGUGUGUGAAGAAGGUCUUAGGAUUGUAAAGCACUUUCGACGGGGACGAUGAUGACGGUACCCGUAGAAGAAGCCCCGGCUAACUUCGUGCCAGCAGCCGCGGUAAUACGAAGGGGGCUAGCGUUGCUCGGAAUGACUGGGCGUAAAGGGCGCGUAGGCGGAUUGUUUAGUUAGGUGUGAAAUUCCUGGGCUUAACCUGGGGACUGCACUUAAUACAGGCAGUCUAGAGUGAGAUAGAGGGUUGUGGAAUUCCCAGUGUAGAGGUGAAAUUCGUAGAUAUUGGGAAGAACACCGGUGGCGAAGGCGGCAACCUGGAUCUUUACUGACGCUGAGGCGCGAAAGCGUGGGGAGCAAACAGGAUUAGAUACCCUGGUAGUCCACGCUGUAAACGAUGUGUGCUGGAUGUUGGGUGACCUAGUCACUCAGUGUCGUAGCUAACGCGAUAAGCACACCGCCUGGGGAGUACGGCCGCAAGGUUGAAACUUAAGGAAUUGACGG
RNAcentral lists this ribosomal RNA (560 nucleotides) under uncultured bacterium. Its description in RNAcentral is "bacterial SSU rRNA". It matches the Rfam family "Bacterial small subunit ribosomal RNA", at positions 338 to 916 of the family's 1533-position model. The record is from RNAcentral.